GACGAACGCUGGCGGCGUGCUUAACACAUGCAAGUCGAACGGAAAGGCCCUGCUGUUGUGGGGUGCUCGAGUGGCGAACGGGUGAGUAACACGUGAGUAACCUGCCCUUUACUUUUGGAUAACGUCAGGAAACUGGAGCUCAUACCGGAUAUGAUCUCCUGCUGCAUGGUGGGGGUUGGAAAGUUUCGGUGGUUGGGGAUGCACUCGCGGCUUAUCAGCUUGUUGGUGGGGUAGUGGCUUACCAAGGCUUUGGCGGGUAGCCGGCCUGAGAGGGUGACCGGCACCAUUGGGACUGGGAUCCGGCCCAGACUCCUACGGGAGGAAGAAGUGGGGAUUAUUGCCAAAUGGGCGGAAGCCUGAUGAAGCAACGCCGCGGGCGGGAUGACGGCCUUCGGGUUGUAACCCGCUUUCGCAUGUGACGAAGCGUGAGUGACGGUAAUGGGUAAAGAAGCACCGGCUAACUACGUG
This 468-nucleotide ribosomal RNA is filed under the name uncultured bacterium. Its description in RNAcentral is "partial 16S ribosomal RNA". It matches the Rfam family "Bacterial small subunit ribosomal RNA", at positions 28 to 507 of the family's 1533-position model. The record is from RNAcentral.